AGACAUCAGCUGUAUUUUGUUCCAAAGUAACCCCCUGUGAACACGAGGGUUUACAAAGCACCUGGGGGUACAUGUUGACAGCAAACAGCUGCAUGGGACUACUGAGGUGCUCCAACUGUUUGCUAUGGCUUUUAUUUCAAAGAACAUCACUCCACUGAUAAGCUGUGCUGGACUGCUGACUAACUCCAGCUGACUGGAGAAGCGGUACCUUUUGAAGUAAAAGCUCCAGUAAAUAGUUGAAUGUUUGAAAAAUUCUUAGUUCAGCAACUUUUUGCAAAGUAAAGUUUGCAAACCACACAGAUACGAAUAACCCAGGUUCUACUUCUGUCUGCUUGCAUGAUAGAGGCCUUAACUGAAAUUAGUAAGGCUACUCAUAUGCUUUAAGUGACGAACAUCCUGGGUUGCAAGACCAGGACCCAGUGCUUGAUAUGAAGAACAACAGCUAUACUGAAUACCCUUCAACUGGCAUAAAUUCAAUGGAUUCUGAAGAGUGCCAUUCUUUGUUGGAUGCUUAGCGACUUGCAGAUAAUGCUAGAGUCUUUCAUUAAGGUUAAGAACGUCCUUGUGGCAUAAUGGUUCUAAGUUUUAGAGAACUCUGCUAAUUGUAUAUUCUUUAACAAGUGACAUCUUCAAUAAAUGAGGACAUAGAGCACCCUUGCAAGAUCAGUAUCUAAGGCAAAAAGCCUGUAGUUGAAUUUGCAUAAGCAAACUCUUGUUACUUCACACACACUGCACUAAGGUCUCAUCUUCUUUAAGUUACAACUCAAGUACUGCCCUAUCCUUAAUUUUAAUCCACAUAUGGAAAGGCUUUAACUCAAACAGGCAAGUUCAGAGGUG
Molecule: long non-coding RNA, 837 nt
Organism: Gavialis gangeticus (Gharial)
Lineage: Eukaryota; Metazoa; Chordata; Crocodylia; Gavialidae
Exons: 2
Source: RefSeq, a predicted model, not a curated record